Molecule: transfer RNA, 68 nt
Filed under: Cacajao calvus (bald uakari)
Lineage: Eukaryota; Metazoa; Chordata; Mammalia; Primates; Pitheciidae
Also listed under: 6 other names
Description: tRNA-Val
Rfam family: tRNA
About the family: Transfer RNA (tRNA) molecules are approximately 80 nucleotides in length. Their secondary structure includes four short double-helical elements and three loops (D, anti-codon, and T loops).
Source: RNAcentral
CAAAGUGUAGCUUAAGUUAAAGCAUCUGGCUUACACCCAGAAGAUCUCAUCACAAUUGACCACUUUGA